GUGGGGAAUCUUGCGCAAUGGGCGAAAGCCUGACGCAGCCAUGCCGCGUGAAUGAUGAAGGUCUUAGGAUUGUAAAAUUCUUUCACCGGGGACGAUAAUGACGGUACCCGGAGAAGAAGCUCCGGCUAACUUCGUGCCAGCAGCCGCGGUAAUACGAAGGGGGCUAGCGUUGCUCGGAAUUACUGGGCGUAAAGGGCGCGUAGGCGGACAGCUUAGUCAGAGGUGAAAGCCCAGGGCUCAACCUUGGAAUUGCCUUUGAUACUGGCUGUCUUGAGUUUGGGAGAGGUGAGUGGAACUCCGAGUGUAGAGGUGAAAUUCGUAGAUAUUCGGAAGAACACCAGUGGCGAAGGCGACUCACUGGCUCGAUACUGACGCUGAGGUGCGAAAGCGUGGGGAGCAAACAGGAUUAGAUACCCUAGUAGUCC
RNAcentral lists this ribosomal RNA (425 nucleotides) under uncultured bacterium. RNAcentral's name for it is "bacterial SSU rRNA". It matches the Rfam family "Bacterial small subunit ribosomal RNA", at positions 354 to 796 of the family's 1533-position model. The record is from RNAcentral.